RNAcentral lists this ribosomal RNA (862 nucleotides) under uncultured bacterium. RNAcentral's name for it is "bacterial SSU rRNA". It matches the Rfam family "Bacterial small subunit ribosomal RNA", at positions 530 to 1405 of the family's 1533-position model. The record is from RNAcentral.
GGAGACGAGCGUUAUCCGGAUUUACUGGCGUAAAGAGCGUGUAGGAGGCAAUACAAGUGGAUGUAAAAGCUCUCGGCUAAACUGAGAGAGGACGUUCAAGACUGUAGAGCUAGAGGAAGGCAGAGGUAGAUGGAACUCCGGGAGUAGUGGUGAAAUGCGUAGAUAUCCGGAAGAACACCAGAGGCGAAAGCGAUCUACUGGGCCUUAACAGACACUGAGACGCGAAAGCCAGGGUAGCAAACGGGAUUAGAGACCCCGGUAGUCCUGGCCGUAAACGAUGUAGACUAGGCGCUUGUCGGGCAAAACCGGUGAGUGUCGAAGCGAACGCGAUAAGUCUACCGCCUGGGGAGUACGGUCGCAAGAUUAAAACUCAAAGGAAUUGACGGGGGCCCGCACAAGCAGCGGAGCGUGUGGUUUAAUUCGAUGCUCCGCGAAGAACCUUACCUGGGUUUGACAUAACAGUGGUAGAGGAACGAAAGUGGACCGACCCUUCGGGGAGCUGUUACAGGUGUUGCAUGGCUGUCGUCAGCUCGUGUCGUGAGAUGUUCGGUUAAGUCCGCUAACGAGCGCAACCCGCGCUGUGUGUUACAGGUGUCACACAGUACCGCCGGUAUUAAGUCGGAGGAGGGUGCGGAUGACGUCAAGUCAGCAUGACCUUUAUAUCCAGGGCUACACACACGCUACAAUGGUCAGCACAAUGGGUUGCCAAGCCGCGAGGCGGAGCCAAUCCUAAAAAGCUGGCCUCAGUUCAGAUUGCAGUCUGCAACUCGACUGCAUGAAGUUGGAGUUGCUAGUAACCGCAGGUCAGCAAUACUGCGGUGAAUACGUUCCCGGGGAUUGUACACACCGCCCGUAAGGGCGA